RNAcentral lists this long non-coding RNA (596 nucleotides) under Mytilus galloprovincialis (Mediterranean mussel). The record is from RNAcentral. Lineage: Eukaryota; Metazoa; Mollusca; Bivalvia; Mytilida; Mytilidae.
AGACCACCAGACAGACACACAAACAAGACUACCAAACAGGCACAGACAGACAAGACAAUCAGACAGACAGCAAGCCAGACAAGACAACCAGACAGACAGACAGCAAGACCAGACCACCAGAUAGACAGAAAAGACCACCAGACAGACAGAAAAGACCACCAUACAGACAGACAGACAGACAGACAGACAAGACCACCAGACAGACAGACAUACCAGAUAAACAGACAGACAGACAAGAACACCAGAUAAACAGACAGACAGACAAGAACACCAGACAGACAGAUAUACAAGACAACUAGACUAGACCACCAAACAGACAGACACACAAGACCACCAGACAGAUAUACAGAGAAGACCACCAGACAGACAAGACAAACAAGACCACCAGACAGACAGACAAAAAGACUACAAGACAGAUAGACAAACAAAUAUAAUAAAGUCUCCUACAGCUCCACUUCACAGGUCAGGGACUUAUAUAUCUAGUUAACACUAGAUGAUUAACGAUCUAUAUCAAUCAACAAAAUGUUUUAUAGCUAAUUAGGCACUAGUCCCACACAAAUCAAUUUAGUUUAAUUACCAAUUAAACUUAACCAAAC